AUUUAGGGGCGGGGUCGAUUUUGACAGCUAGUAAAAGAAAAGUGUCGUCUGCUGUUGUUUUGUUUCAUAAACGAACCUAGACAUCUUCAAGUUUACCUAACACCAACAAGUUUAAGAAGCAAAACGAAUACGGAAUGACUCGAAAUUCCACUGAAGGUUUUCCUGAACUCACUUUGCAAAGUGCAACUAGAACAUUUUCCUAGCACCACAGCACUGGCACCUCAUGCAUCUCGGCUUUCCGAAAAGUCUUGAUUCAUGACUCUGCAAAAAGGACCGACACAUCCCGCUACAACAUCAAACAGACGGACAAACACACACACACGGUGCAACUCUAUGGCAUUCGAAGCUCGGCCGGGAAAAGGAAAAUAAAAAUUAAAGAAGCCACAAACAAAUCUACCGCUCGCUGGAGGAAUAAAAAAGAAGAAAAAAACCUUUUGCAGUUCUAAGGUUUCUAUCUGAUAUAUUCGUCUAUAGCUCUUUGAUCUAUUCAAAUGAGUUUCUAUUGAUGUUGUUCACCGCGUGCUGAUCCUUAUUCCGGCGUGAAAAGAAAAAGAAAGGCCACACAGCAAAGAGAGAACACAUAACGAACGGAAUGAAAAGGAAAUGGCGAAAAGACAUCCCUUGGCAAUCACCUUCUCGCAUCUACCGCCAUCGCUUGCCCAAAUCGGGGUAGACCGAAACAACCGACAAGCUUCGAGAUAUGGCUUAUAUUCACCGUCAACGUAAUAUAACCAGAUUUUUUUUUUCUGGCUAUACUCAUGUACGUUUACAGCUAUAGGCAACUCGAUGGUUUACGUUACGACGGUUGCAGUUUCAAGGGCAGCGCGUCCAGUUUUUAUAUAUUUCCCUUUCAAAUCUUGUCCAAAAAACAUUUGUGACUUGCAUUUUCAGUUUCCCCCCUACAGCAGAACUUCUGGUCUUGCACAAAGAAAAUAAUAUCCACGACUAUGCAACGCAACCACACAUGUUUUUGUGUACACAUCAUAAUCUUAAGGGAGAGAGUAGCUUAACUUUUGGCUGGUUCGACAAUAACGAAUCUUGUUUAUCCUAUAUGAACUGAUGGCGGCUGGACGCAUUCUCUCCCGGACCUCUCUCUCUCCCUACUGUGUAUAAACUCUCGUUGCUGUGUUAUGAUACGGAGGGAGGAUCGGCUCUCUCCCCCCUCCAAAAUCCUCGACAGAAUGUGUAACAUUUUGAUGAAAGAAACACGAGAGUCGGUUGGCAACUUGUAAGGCUACACGGCCCCUCUCUGCCUGUACAGUUGUCCGAUAGCUUACACACGUAAACAGAGCGGAGAACUAUACACAAGAAGAAGAAGAAGAAGACAGAUGGUGGCAGAUGCACAUCUCGGCUGUGUGGAAUAAACCGUGUGGAACUCAACGCCCGAAUGAAUGAACUUUAGUCUCUAUCACACACACCAUGAAUAAUGAGGCUUUUUAUUUUAGAAGAUAUGGCGUUAUGAUACAGCGCGAUCAUUGAUGAUGAUAAUUCAAGACACGGCAUCAUCAUCAUCAUCGAAUAUCUAUCUAAUGGCGUGAAGAGGAGAGUCUCUUUUUUUGGGUUGUUGUUGUUUUUAAUAUGACCACCAGUCAUAGUCACUGCUGUGUAUGGUGGGGGGGAGAGAUAGUUCCGUGUCCGGGCCCAUUUCUUUAUUGUGUAUGACCUACCGAUUCUUUUUGGAAUAGAUUGAUGGAUCUCUU
This 1700-nucleotide long non-coding RNA is filed under the name Daphnia pulex (common water flea). RNAcentral describes it as "uncharacterized LOC124188445". The record is from RNAcentral. Lineage: Eukaryota; Metazoa; Arthropoda; Branchiopoda; Diplostraca; Daphniidae.